This 284-nucleotide ribosomal RNA is filed under the name uncultured Pseudomonas sp. Its description in RNAcentral is "partial 16S ribosomal RNA". It matches the Rfam family "Bacterial small subunit ribosomal RNA", at positions 1100 to 1382 of the family's 1533-position model. The record is from RNAcentral. Lineage: Bacteria; Pseudomonadati; Pseudomonadota; Gammaproteobacteria; Pseudomonadales; Pseudomonadaceae.
AACCCUUGUCCUUAGUUACCAGCACGGUUAUGGUGGGCACGUCUAAGGAGACUGCCGGUGACAAACCGGAGGAAGUGGGGAUGACGUCAAGUCAUCAUGGCCCUUACGGCCUGGGCUACACACGUGCUACAAUGGUCGGUACAAAGGGUUGCCAAGCCGCGAGGUGGAGCUAAUCCCAUAAAACCGAUCGUAGUCCGGAUCGCAGUCUGCAACUCGACUGCGUGAAGUCGGAAUCGCUAGUAAUCGUGAAUCAGAAUGUCACGGUGAAUACGUUCCCGGGCCUU